CCAUCACACUGUGAGUCAGUUGGUUCGGAGAAGGCCUACCAGAAACACCUGGCUGGAGGCACACCUGAGCCCGGCUGGGUCAAACUGGAGACCAACUUACAGGUAUGACCAUCACACUGUGAGUCAGAGUUGGUUCGGAGAAGGCCUACCAGAAACACCUGGCUGGAGGCACACCUGAGCCCGGCUGGGUCAAACUGGAGACCAACUUAGAGGUAUGACCAUCACACUGUGAGUCAGAGUUGGUUCGGAGAAGGCCUACCAGAAACACCUGGCUGGAGGCACACCUGAGCCCGGCUGGGUCAAACUGGAGACCAACUUAGAGGUAUGACCAUCACACUGUGAGUCAGAGUUGGUUCGGAGAAGGCCUACCAGAAACACCUGGCUGGAGGCACACCUGAGCCCGGCUGGGUCAAACUGGAGACCAACUUACAGGUAUGACCAUCACACUGUGAGUCAGAGUUGGUUCGGAGAAGGCCUACCAGAAACACCUGGCUGGAGGCACACCUGAGCCCGGCUGGGUCAAACUGGAGACCAACUUAGAGGUAUGACCAUCACACUGUGAGUCAGUUGGUUCGGAGAAGGCCUACCAGAAACACCUGGCUGGAGGCACACCUGAGCCCGGCUGGGUCAAACUGGAGACCAACUUAGAGGUAUGACCAUCACACUGUGAGUCAGAGUUGGUUCGGAGAAGGCCUACCAGAAACACCUGGCUGGAGGCACACCUGAGCCCGGCUGGGUCAAACUGGAGACCAACUUAGAGGUAUGACCAUCACACUGUGAGUCAGAGUUGGUUCGGAGAAGGCCUACCAGAAACACCUGGCUGGAGGCACACCUGAGCCCGGCUGGGUCAAACUGGAGACCAACUUAGAGGUAUGACCAUCACACUGUGAGUCAGAGUUGGUUCGGAGAAGGCCUACCAGAAACACCUGGCUGGAGGCACACCUGAGCCCGGCUGGGUCAAACUGGAGACCAACUUAGAGGUAUGACCAUCACACUGUGAGUCAGAGUUGGUUCGGAGAAGGCCUACCAGAAACACCUGGCUGGAGGCACACCUGAGCCCGGCUGGGUCAAACUGGAGACCAACUUAGAGGUAUGACCAUCACACUGUGAGUCAGAGUUGGUUCGGAGAAGGCCUACCAGAAACACCUGGCUGGAGGCACACCUGAGCCCGGCUGGGUCAAACUGGAGACCAACUUACAGGUGAACUUUGGGAAGGUUCCCAUGGUGAUGCGUCAGCCCUUUUCCAGUAGAAUCAGGAGGAACUUCCUGUCUGGGAUUCAGGUGGAGUUUAAACAGUCGCCUCAUCAGAGAAGUCUCCGGGCCCAGCUCCACUGGCUACAGGUAGACAACCAGCUG
Oncorhynchus masou masou (cherry salmon) is the source of this 1356-nucleotide long non-coding RNA. RefSeq lists it as uncharacterized. NCBI's taxonomy places the organism in Eukaryota, Metazoa, Chordata, Actinopteri, Salmoniformes, Salmonidae. The record is from RefSeq and is a predicted model, not a curated record. The transcript is spliced from 3 exons.